CAGACUCAAAGAGACUGACAAAACACACAGGGGACACCGGGGAAGGAAACAUGCAGGAAAACUAGGGUGAUGGCUGUGACAGUGAGCAGAGAGGGUCCAGGACCACAGCUCCCAGUGAGACCCGUGAAAGAUGAAGUAAUAGGUAGAAGAUGAAAGGGAUAAGAACCUCAGCACAACUUCUGGCCCAUUGAACUCAACCACUGAAGCUGACAAAAUCAAGAGCACUUCCAGCAUGUCCUGCCCAGCAGACACACAGCAGAACCAAACUCUCUUUCCCACGGCAUGUGCCUAGCUGAGACAAACUGCAAAACAGCUCAAUUAACUGUGGUGGAAA
This is a long non-coding RNA of Micropterus dolomieu (smallmouth bass), 334 nucleotides long. RefSeq lists it as uncharacterized. Lineage: Eukaryota; Metazoa; Chordata; Actinopteri; Centrarchiformes; Centrarchidae. The record is from RefSeq and is a predicted model, not a curated record. The transcript has 3 exons.